ACGAACGCUGGCGGCGUGCUUCACACAUGCCAGUCGAACGGAAAGGCCCUGCUUUUGUGGGGUGCUCGAGUGGCGAACGGGUGAGUAACACGUGAGUAACCUGCCCUUGACUUUGGGAUAACUUCAGGAAACUGGGGCUAAUACCGGAUAGGAGCUCCUGCUGCAUGGUGGGGGUUGGAAAGUUUCGGCGGUUGGGGAUGGACUCGCGGCUUAUCAGCUUGUUGGUGGGGUAGUGGCUUACCAAGGCUUUGACGGGUAGCCGGCCUGAGAGGGUGACCGGCCACAUUGGGACUGAGAUACGGCCCAGACUCCUACGGGAGGCAGCAGUGGGGAAUAUUGCACAAUGGGCGGAAGCCUGAUGCAGCAACGCCGCGUGCGGGAUGACGGCCUUCGGGUUGUAAACCGCUUUCGCCUGUGGCGAAGCGUGAGUGACGGUAAUGGGUAAAGAAGCACCGGCUAACUACGUG
RNAcentral lists this ribosomal RNA (467 nucleotides) under uncultured bacterium. RNAcentral's name for it is "partial 16S ribosomal RNA". It matches the Rfam family "Bacterial small subunit ribosomal RNA", at positions 29 to 507 of the family's 1533-position model. The record is from RNAcentral.